Molecule: small RNA, 2816 nt
Filed under: Pongo abelii (Sumatran orangutan)
Lineage: Eukaryota; Metazoa; Chordata; Mammalia; Primates; Hominidae
Description: retained intron
Source: RNAcentral
AGCACCCGAUCCCCGACCCGAGAGCUGUGGCCUGGGCCUGGCAGGGUGGACGGCUCCUGGGUCACCAUCUCAGGGGCCCACAAGGCUUUGGCCUUGGAGCCGGUUCUGCUGUUUUACUUCAGGCCCUGGCGGUCCUCGUUUUCCGCUUGACCUUGCCCCCACUAAAACAGGGAAUAUUCCGGGAAAGAAAGAGGGAACCUGCGGAGCCUCGGUCAGUUUGGAGGAGUCACGUAUCACACGGGAAACCAGCACACAGGACACAACAAAACCCGACCGAGAGAAGCGUCCUUUACAGAGCGCACGGGCUGGGAGCAUGUUUGAAAGAAGACAGACCAGUCUAUUUUUGUGGUUGUUUUUAAAUAAAAGGAAGAAAUAAGGGGAACCGUAUGUUUCAAACAGUUAUUUCCGUUUCUCCAUCGCCUUCUUCCAAAGCGAACUAAACUCUCCACCCCUUCCUCAGGAAACGGAAUCUGGAGAACAACUUGUCUUUCCCGUCGCCCCACAUUUUUCCUUGGACAGAGCCUAGGGUUCAGACUUUCCGAAGGGCUGGAGUUUGGCGGGGAAAGGACUGGAGCCCAGCGCCCUGGCGUGGAGGAGUGAGGAGGCUAGACCGCUUCUAAGGAGGCCCAAGCCCGCUGCGGCUAGAAGCCCGCAGAAAGAAAUCCGCCGAAUUUCCCCAUCCAGGAGUGGAGAGAGAAGACGCAGGGAUUCCUGAACCUCCGGAAAACUGGAAGGAAAUGUAGAGUGUAUGAUUUGCUUGCAGGACCGGCCAGGGGAGAUUUGAAAUGGUUUUGUGUUUUCAUUUGCCGGGUCACCGUGGCCUCAGCAUGGGGGUUAUCCAGGGCAAGGUUAGGCUGUUUAGGCCCCAGACUUGGGACAGUCCGGGCAGCAGUCAAUCCAGGGAGCCAUUUGUCCCACCGCCCAUCCCGCGGGAAACGGGCAAGACUUUAUGGCCACUCUGUUUGUAUUAUCUGCAUUAGUCUUUCCCCACCAGUUUGAUCGAAACCGUUCCCUUUUACGAGGACCCAACGAAAAUUUCCCGUCAUAUUUAUCAGCCAGGGAUAAAAAUUUAGUAUGGGAACUGAUAUUUCCUCACUUAUGGGACGAUGAAAUUAAAUACCAAAGCAAUUGAGAAUUAUAUGGCUUUGGGGGUUCCCUCCCCCCUCUUUUACGUCUCCUUUAUUUUCCUGCCUGGUGUGCUUUUCCUAGGAAUUUAGCGUCCCAGUUCCCUACCCUUACCCCCCACUUUGGAGUCUGGUGGGUCUUUUUCCCCACGGCCAAGUGGCCCUUGGCCACCUCAGCCUUUUCUUUUUUUUUCUCUAGGUGUUAGUAGCUGGGGGCCAGGACAGUGCUACCCGAGCCUCUGCCCAGGCCAGCCAGGACAGGCUGGGAUCAGAGAAAGGUUUCCAGGGAAGAGCCGCAAAGGGUUUGAGCCCAGCCUGGGAGGGGGUGAAGGAGUCGGCAGCAAAGUGUGAAGGAGAUAAACUUCAGACAAGCCCCAAGGCGUAGCCUGGGGAACCAGCAGACAGGGAGCAGACCUAUCGGCCUCAGGGGCCCCACCACCCAACCUCUUUCCAAGCCCAUCUCUCACCUUAGCCAACGGAGAGGACAGAGUCGCUUCGGAAUUCUCGCCAUCAUUAACGAAAAUAAUACUCCAGGGAGGAGCCUCCCGCCUCGACUCCCACCUCCUCACAAGAAAGAAUAGUGUUUAAAGUUGAAAUAAUUAGAAGUAUGAUAAACACGGCCCAUUAAUGAAAAAAGAAAUCAAAUUCAUCAGAUUAAGUGGGACCCCCGGUGGGACAAAUGUUUGCCUCUAAUUACGCAAGAUAAACGAAAACCGGGAGCUGCUAAACUAGAGCCCGCUCGGACGCAGACCUGAAUAACUUGUUGGGUUUUCACAGACUUGGAGAUUCUGCUUCAGUGGAGGUAAAAGGAAGGAAAAAGUGAGUGUUUUAUCCUGGCGAAGGGAGCAUUUGUGCGGGCCUGGGUCCCAGCCCUGCCCCCUUGGGCUCGGUCUUUCCCGAGGCCACGAGCAAAGGCUGUUUCGGUCCUAUUGUCCGGGCCUGGCGUUCAAAGGCAUGCGGGCCGCCACAACCACCCCGCCUGCCGCCACUGCCAGGCACCCACCGCCCUGCCCCACAGGGCCAAGACCCUUCAGCCUGUGCCCUUGGCAACUGGAUUAGGAUCCAGGGGAGGCCUGUGUUGCUAGAAUCACCCACAUAUGGACUCUUAUUAAUCCAUUUCCCCAACUUUCCGAGGGUGCCGAGACACCUAUGCCUAUGUCUAAGUCUGGGGCUCCCCCUUCUUACCUCAACUUGGGAACAUGAAAAUCCAGGGGCUGCAAGCCACAGUGGGGCUCAGGCUGUGCAUACGACCUGACAAAUCCCACCCAGGGCCAAUGCCCUGGCCCCUUUCUCCCUUCCCGGGUACCCAGAUCCUGGAAAGGCAGCAAGGACGGGGCUGGGCCUCCUUCUGCCUGUGAGGCUGUGAGCAAUGCAGAGGAGGAGGGUUCAGGAGCUCUGUGAAUACUCUGGGAGGAUCCAGCGGGUUCCACAGGGCAGCCCAAGGGCUGGGGCGCUAGGGGUCCCCACGUGAAAGCAGAAGAAGGAAAAUAUGCUCAAUGAACAAAAAAGGACCUUGGUUACUUUCCUGGCUGUAGCCCUCAACACACCCCAGAAGCACCCUGGUUUCUCCAGCAAAAAAUUGGAGUUUCCCCAACAGGUUAAGAAAGUCAACUGGGAAAUUCUGAAAAGAUGAAGUGAAAAAGGAAGAAUUUCUUUCCCUUUUGGGUUAAAUAAUAAGAUAAAAAUAAAGUG